Empidonax traillii (willow flycatcher) is the source of this 367-nucleotide long non-coding RNA. RefSeq lists it as uncharacterized. The record is from RefSeq and is a predicted model, not a curated record. The transcript is spliced from 3 exons. Lineage: Eukaryota; Metazoa; Chordata; Aves; Passeriformes; Tyrannidae.
GCUGCUCCUCCCGGGGUGUGCGCGGCCAGGGGAGCUCCGGGAGCCGGGGGGCCGGCCCGGCGCACUCGGGACCGCCGGCACUGACCCUGCCGGGCGCUGGAGGAGCCUGUGCGGAACACGGAGAGGGUGAGCGGGGUCCCGUGGGGAGCCAUUCGAAGUGACGGGGACACUGCUUUGCUGUCCUGUGGCAUCUUCAGCAGGCCUGCGUCAGACCUCUCGCACAUGUAAACGCUGCUGGUGGUGCGCUGGAGAUUGCAGCUGAGCUUCACAGCACAGGCUAACCCAGCAGAAGACAAGGUAAAUACAAAUAGGAUAUGAACUGGGAAAUAGAGUUCCUAGCCUAGCUUAUCAGAAGGAACAUAAAUAG